GUUAGAUGGCGAAUCAUAGCAACGCUUUUAGUAAUAUAAUUAGUGAAAUUUUACAAGUUAAAAGCUACGAGCAGUAUGCUUUGCUGAAUCACGAACACAAUACGCAACCAACAAUACUUGAUCUCCACGAUCAACAGAUGUCGCCCUGAUGCAGUUCAUAAAGAAGGCGGCUGUGGAGUCGCCACGGACUCUCAAAAACAAACCGGUGUACCGUAGUUGUUACGAAUUAGCGUGGUCGCAAGUUUCUUCUGCCAUCAAAACGUCGAUUUUGCGUAUAGUGUGAACAAGUAUUUACAAAGGGACUCGACUUUCGGUGUGAGGUUGGCCUGUUAACGAUUCUACGACACAAUCCACGAUUUUUCCUGAGAACCGCCAGUUGAGGUUGUUUUUGUUAUGAACACGAGGCUCUGGCUUGUUUCGGCAGUCGAUACGUAUUUCUUUUGGAAAGAAGAUCUCUACACGUAACAGCGUGACAGACCACAGACGAGGUAUAUGAAUAAACCUUUUACGUCGCUGAUGACUUCGCUGAUGACUCCUACUAGGCGACAUCGUCGCCCGGGUGCUUGAAUUCUACAGUUGACAUACUGCUAAAUCGGUGACGCGAAGAUGAGCGGGCGCGCAGGACAGACAAGAGUCCUGGCCAGCUCCUGCGCAAAUUUCGCAGGACUCGUGGCAGGGCCAGCAGACUCCACCUUGAUUCGGGAAGCUCCUCGGAGGGCAUCGACUCACGCAAGUACUAAUUUUUCUAGUGGUGUCGAGGGAGUCGUCGCCGACUUGCGACGAGGACGACGGGGAAUCGAAAGCCGACGACGUAUCACCGGGAAGUCGAUUGGUCAGGAUGGGGG
This is a long non-coding RNA of Colletes gigas, 845 nucleotides long. RefSeq lists it as uncharacterized. The record is from RefSeq and is a predicted model, not a curated record. The transcript is spliced from 5 exons. NCBI's taxonomy places the organism in Eukaryota, Metazoa, Arthropoda, Insecta, Hymenoptera, Colletidae.